GACGAACGCUGGCGGCGUGCUUAACACAUGCAAGUCGAACGGAAAGGCCCUGCUUUUGUGGGGUGCUCGAGUGGCGAACGGGUGAGUAACACGUGAGUAACCUGCCCUUGACUUUGGGAUAACUUCAGGAAACUGGGGCUAAUACCGGAUAGGAGCUCCUGCUGCAUGGUGGGGGUUGGAAAGUUUCGGCGGUUGGGGAUGGACUCGCGGCUUAUCAGCUUGUUGGUGGGGUAGUGGCUUACCAAGGCUUUGACGGGUAGCCGGCCUGAGAGGGUGACCGGCCACAUUGGAACUGAGAUACGGCACAGACUCCUACGGGAGGCAGAAGUGGGGAAUAUUGCACAAUGGGCGGAAGCCUGAUGCAGCAACGCCGCGUGCGGGAUGACGGCCUUAGGGUUGUAAACCGCUUUCGCCUGUGACGAAGCGUGAGUGACGGUAAUGGGUAAAGAAGCAAAGGCUAACUAAGU
RNAcentral lists this ribosomal RNA (467 nucleotides) under uncultured bacterium. Its description in RNAcentral is "partial 16S ribosomal RNA". It matches the Rfam family "Bacterial small subunit ribosomal RNA", at positions 28 to 506 of the family's 1533-position model. The record is from RNAcentral.